UGGGGAAUAUUGCACAAUGGGGGAAACCCUGAUGCAGCCAUGCCGCGUGUGUGAAGAAGGCCUUCGGGUUGUAAAGCACUUUCAGGUGUGAGGAAAAGKKAGUAGUUAAUACCUGCUAACCGUGACGUUAACUACAGAAGAAGCACCGGCUAACUCCGUGCCAGCAACCGCGGUAAUACGGAGGGUGCGAGCGUUAAUCGGAAUUACUGGGCGUAAAGCGCACGCAGGCGGUUUGUUAAGCUAGAUGUGAAAGCCCCGGGCUCAACCUGGGAAGGUCAUUUAGAACUGGCAGACUAGAGUCUUGGAGAGGGGAGUGGAAUUCCAGGUGUAGCGGUGAAAUGCGUAGAUAUCUGGAGGAACAUCAGUGGCGAAGGCGACUCCCUGGCCAAAGACUGACGGUCAUGUGCGAAAGUGUGGGUAGCGAACAGGAUUAGAUACCCUGGUAGUCCACACCGUAAACGCUGUCUACUAGCUGUUGG
This 479-nucleotide ribosomal RNA is filed under the name uncultured marine gamma proteobacterium BY-93. RNAcentral's name for it is "bacterial SSU rRNA". It matches the Rfam family "Bacterial small subunit ribosomal RNA", at positions 355 to 826 of the family's 1533-position model. The record is from RNAcentral. Lineage: Bacteria; Pseudomonadati; Pseudomonadota; Gammaproteobacteria; Alteromonadales; Alteromonadaceae.